UUUUUUUUCCUUCCAGCCCAAUCCGCCAACCUUCCCAAAAAAGAAGGAAAAAGCCCUCGGACUUCUCCAAUACCGUGAACACUUAUUUCAUAAACCUGAAACUGCUAUUUCUCCUAGAAGGGCAAGUAAAAUUCAGCGUGAAACUGCUAUUUCUCUUAGAAGGGCAAGUAAAAUUCAGCGAAAUUACUGGUGUUCAGACGUCAAUCUCAUCGUAGUAGAGAAAUUGCUUGUCACCUCCAUUGACAACAACUGCUCACGUUUCUUCUCAUCAAGGACAAAUUUGACAGUGAUGACAUAAAUGAUCAACGAGAUCAUUUCCCGAAACAUAUGAGAGUUAUGGAACAAUUGGAGAGGAUCGAUGCACAAGAAUAUCAAGUCUAAGCCAUUCCGUUAUGCUCUAAAAGAUGUGCCAAAGGGGGUAGACAAGAGUGAUUGGGAAUGGCUGGUCAAGGAGCAUUUUCUUACUGAAAAAUUUAAGGAGACAAGUACAAGAAACUGAUCAAUAGGUCUAAGUUGAGUAUGCCUCAUCGUAUAGGUAGUAAGCCAAUUAGGGAGAUCAUUUAUGAAUUGGGAGGUAAAGAUGGCAAUCCACCAGAUGUGGCAACUAUUUUUUUUUAGACUCGCAAAAAUCAAAGAAAUGGUGCAAUCUGAAUUGUCUCUUACAAACAUUGAGGUUGUAGAAAGGUGCUUCGGACCUCAACAAAGAGUCAUGUAGUUGGAUUUGGUGGUGGGAUAACCGCUAAGGAGUUGAAAGGUGGUAACUCCUCUAAGCUGCAUUGUUGGAAAAGCUGAAUGCUAAUAAAAAAGAAAAUAAAUCACUAAAAGGACGCCUGGAAGGGUUAGAGAGUAAAUAUGAUGAGCUAGGGAGUAAAUACGCACAGCUUGCAAAGAUAGUGUUUGAUAAGCCUUCAUCACCAUCUUCAAGUGAUCAAUAUAUUGAAUCAUUUAACAUGUUAGUAGGUUAAAAAUCCUAUUUUACUCUCUGAUGAAAAUAUUGCAAUGCUCAUGUGAACUUUUUCUUUAUGUCAUUAAGGUUUAUGAAUAAACAAAAGUAUAGUCAAAUGACUUUAAGCAAUAAUGAAGUUUCAAAAUUGCUAGCU
Molecule: long non-coding RNA, 1100 nt
Organism: Nicotiana attenuata
Lineage: Eukaryota; Viridiplantae; Streptophyta; Magnoliopsida; Solanales; Solanaceae
Exons: 5
Source: RefSeq, a predicted model, not a curated record